AUUGAACGCUGGCGGCAUGCCUAACACAUGCAAGUCGAACGGAAACGAUGGGAGCUUGCUCCCAGGCGUCGAGUGGCGGACGGGUGAGGAAUGCAUAGGAAUCUGCCCAGUAGCGGGGGACAACUCGGGGAAACUCGAGCUAAUACCGCAUACGCCCUACGGGGGAAAGCAGGGGAUCUUCGGACCUUGCACUAUUGGAUGAGCCUAUGCCUGAUUAGCUUGUUGGUGGGGUAACGGCCUACCAAGGCGACGAUCAGUAGCUGGUCUGAGAGGACGAUCAGCCACACUGGGACUGAGACACGGCCCAGACUCCUACGGGAGGCAGCAGUGGGGAAUAUUGCACAAUGGGCGCAAGCCUGAUGCAGCAAUGCCGCGUGUGUGAAGAAGGCCUGCGGGUUGUAAAGCACUUUCAGUAGGGAGGAAACUGUAACGGAAUAAUACCCGUUACCCUGACGUUACCUACAGAAGAAGCACCGGCUAACUCUGUGCCAGCAGCCGCGGUAAUACAGAGGGUGCGAGCGUUAAUCGGAAUUACUGGGCGUAAAGCGCGCGUAGGCGGCUUGGUCAGUCGGAUGUGAAAGCCCCGGGCUUAA
RNAcentral lists this ribosomal RNA (593 nucleotides) under uncultured bacterium. RNAcentral's name for it is "bacterial SSU rRNA". It matches the Rfam family "Bacterial small subunit ribosomal RNA", at positions 28 to 612 of the family's 1533-position model. The record is from RNAcentral.